This 253-nucleotide ribosomal RNA is filed under the name uncultured bacterium. RNAcentral describes it as "partial 16S ribosomal RNA". It matches the Rfam family "Bacterial small subunit ribosomal RNA", at positions 524 to 776 of the family's 1533-position model. The record is from RNAcentral.
UACGUAGGGUGCAAGCGUUGUCCGGAAUUAUUGGGCGUAAAGAGCUCGUAGGCGGUCUGUCGCGUCGGAUGUGAAAAUCCAGGGCUCAACCCUGGACCUGCAUUCGAUACGGGCAGACUAGAGUUCGGUAGGGGUCUGCGGAACUUCUGGUGGAGCGGUGAAAUGCGUUGAUAUCAGAAGGAACGCCGGUGGCGAAAGCGGCGGACUGGACCUCUUCUGACGCUGAGGCGCGAAAGCUAGGGGAGCAAACGGG